CACNCCGUAAACGAUGAGUGCUAGGUGUUGGGUCCUUUCCGGGGCUCAGUGCCGCAGCUAACGCAUUAAGCACUCCGCCUGGGGAGUACGACCGCAAGGUUGAAACUCAAAGGAAUUGACGGGGGCCCGCACAAGCGGUGGAGCAUGUGGUUUAAUUCGAAGCAACGCGAAGAACCUUACCAGGUCUUGACAUCCCUCUGACCGCUCUAGAGAUAGAGUUUCCCUUCGGGGCAGAGGUGACAGGUGGUGCAUGGUUGUCGUCAGCUCGUGUCGUGAGAUGUUGGGUUAAGUCCCGCAACGAGCGCAACCCUUAUUGUUAGUUGCCAUCAUUGAGUUGGGCACUCUAGCGAGACUGCCGGUAAUAAACCGGAGGAAGGUGGGGAUGACGUCAAAUCAUCAUGCCCCUUAUGACCUGGGCUACACACGUGCUACAAUGGCUGGUACAACGAGUCGCAAGCCGGUGACGGCAAGCUAAUCUCUGAAAGCCAGUCUCAGUUCGGAUUGUAGGCUGCAACUCGCCUACAUG
Molecule: ribosomal RNA, 526 nt
Filed under: uncultured bacterium
Lineage: Bacteria
Description: bacterial SSU rRNA
Rfam family: Bacterial small subunit ribosomal RNA
Source: RNAcentral